This 1295-nucleotide ribosomal RNA is filed under the name metagenome. Its description in RNAcentral is "bacterial LSU rRNA". It matches the Rfam family "Bacterial large subunit ribosomal RNA", at positions 1611 to 2925 of the family's 2925-position model. The record is from RNAcentral.
AAAAAAGCCGCUAUUGUUCUUAUUGUACCCGUACCGUAAACCGACACAGGUGGAUGAGGAGAGAAUCCUAAGGCCGACGGAAGAAGCAUUGUUAAGGAACUCGGCAAAAUGACCCCGUAACUUCGGGAGAAGGGGUGCCACAGAAAUGUGGCCGCAGAGAAUAGGCUCAAGCAACUGUUUAGCAAAAACACAGGUCUAUGCAAAACCGAAAGGUGAGGUAUAUGGGCUGACGCCUGCCCGGUGCUGGAAGGUUAAGAGGAGAGGUUAGCGCAAGCGAAGCUUUGAAUUGAAGCCCCAGUAAACGGCGGCCGUAACAAUAACGGUCCUAAGGUAGCGAAAUUCCUUGUCGGGUAAGUUCCGACCCGCACGAAAGGCGUAAUGAUUUGAGCGCUGUCUCGACAAUGCAUCCGGUGAAAUUGAAGUACCAGUGAAGAUGCUGGUUACCUGCGCCAGGACGGAAAGACCCCAUGGAGCUUUACUCCAGCUUGAUACUGGGAUUCGGUAUUGCAUGUACAGGAUAGGUGGGAGGCUGAGAAUCGGUAACGCCAGUUGCCGAGGAGCCAUUGUUGGGAUACCACCCUUGCAGUACUGGGUUUCUAACCAGCAGCCGUGACCCGGCUGGGGGACAAUGUCAGGUGGGGAGUUUGACUGGGGCGGUCGCCUCCGAAAGGGUAUCGGAGGCGCUCAAAGGUUCCCUCAGAAUGGUUGGAAACCAUUCGAAGAGUGCAAAGGCAGAAGGGAGCUUGACUGCGACACCGACGGGUGGAGCAGGUACGAAAGUAGGACUUAGUGAUCCGGUGGUAUUAAGUGGGAAUGCCAUCGCUCAACGGAUAAAAGCUACCCUGGGAUAACAGGCUUAUCACUCCCAAGAGUUCACAUCGACGGAGUGGUUUGGCACCUCGAUGUCGGCUCAUCGCAUCCUGGGGCUGUAGUAGGUCCCAAGGGUUGGGCUGUUCGCCCAUUAAAGCGGUACGCGAGCUGGGUUCAGAACGUCGUGAGACAGUUCGGUCCCUAUCCGGCGUGGGCGUAGGAUAUCUGAGAGGAGCUGUCCUUAGUACGAGAGGACCGGGAUGGACGGACCGCUGGUGUACCUGUUGCAGUGCCAGCUGCAUGGCAGGGUAGCCAAGUCCGGAAGGGAUAAACGCUGAAGGCAUCUAAGCGUGAAGCCCCCCUCAAGAUGAGAUAUCCCAUUCGAAAGAAGUAAGACCCCUUGAAGACGACGAGGUAGAUAGGGCAGAGGUGGAAGUGCAGUAAUGUAUGGAGCUGACUGUUACUAAUCGGUCGAGGGUUUGAUC